CGUGGGUGUGAAGUGGCAUCUCAUUAUGAUUAUCAUAUCUUCUUAAAGAAGCAAACACAACCAAAUUCAGAAGAAUUUAUAAGGCUGGUAUCUGAUUGAAAAGGCCCCAGGAAGUGGAUUUUGCCUUCAGAGUUCAACUCCUCCUGUGGCGCAGUCCCAAAACACUAGGUGGCAUGAGCAGAACAAGGAGGCAUACACACUGCAGGCAAAACUGCAAAGAAAGGGGCCACUUUCAUUCUGCAUCCAUGGUGUAGAGUUAAAACCCAUCUAAGGAGACUUCCCAAGACUCUCUCUGGAUGACCACUGUGUUCCAUAAGUGCCCCUGUACAGCAGGAAGAUGAGGUGAUUUGCUAAGGUCUUUUCUAGCCUUGGAGAUUCUGGGAUUCUAGAAUUACUCUUUUAUAGUAAGACAUGAUCUCUGCAAUGUCGCUGAGAUUUAUAUGAGAAAAAAUGUUCUUUAGGGGCUAUCAAUUAAAACUUUAUACCACAAAA
RNAcentral lists this non-coding RNA (492 nucleotides) under Pongo abelii (Sumatran orangutan). The record is from RNAcentral. Lineage: Eukaryota; Metazoa; Chordata; Mammalia; Primates; Hominidae.